UCCCUGGUGGCUCAGAGGUUAAAGCGUCUGCCUGGAAUGCAGGAGAGCCAGGUUCGAUCCCUGGGUCAGGAAG
RNAcentral lists this transfer RNA (73 nucleotides) under Bos taurus (domestic cattle). RNAcentral describes it as "tRNA-Ser (GGA) (tRNA-Ser-GGA-11-1)". It matches the Rfam family "tRNA". Rfam says of the family: Transfer RNA (tRNA) molecules are approximately 80 nucleotides in length. Their secondary structure includes four short double-helical elements and three loops (D, anti-codon, and T loops). The record is from RNAcentral. Lineage: Eukaryota; Metazoa; Chordata; Mammalia; Artiodactyla; Bovidae. RNAcentral also lists the same sequence under 1 other name.